RNAcentral lists this ribosomal RNA (497 nucleotides) under uncultured bacterium. Its description in RNAcentral is "partial 16S ribosomal RNA". It matches the Rfam family "Bacterial small subunit ribosomal RNA", at positions 28 to 507 of the family's 1533-position model. The record is from RNAcentral.
GAUGAACGCUGGCGGCGUGCCUAAUACAUGCAAGUCGAGCGAACGGACGAGAAGCUUGCUUUUCUGAUGUUAGCGGCGGACGGGUGAGUAACACGUGGAUAACCUACCUAUAAGACUGGGAUAACUUCGGGAAACCGGAGCUAAUACCGGAUAAUAUUUUGAACCGCAUGGUUCAAAAGUGAAAGACGGUCUUGCUGUCACUUAUAGAUGGAUCCGCGCUGCAUUAGCUAGUUGGUAAGGUAACGGCUUACCAAGGCAACGAUGCAUAGCCGACCUGAGAGGGUGAUAGGCCACACUGGAACUGAGACACGGUCCAGACUCCUACGGGAGGCAGCAGUAGGGAAUCUUCCGCAAUGGGCGAAAGCCUGACGGAGCAACGCCGCGUGAGUGAUGAAGGUCUUCGGAUCGUAAAACUCUGUUAUUAGGGAAGAACAUAUGUGUAAGUAACUGUGCACAGCUUGACGGUACCUAAUCAGAAAGCCACGGCUAACUACGUG